AUGUAAGGUGAAACAACUAUAUCUAUUUAAUUGUGAAAAGUUGCAAUCUGAUUAUAUCAUCGUGUCUGUUUAUAUGCAAUAUAUAAGAACCUGGAUAACUACCCAGGUUCUUUUUUGA
Molecule: small RNA, 118 nt
Filed under: Paenibacillus baekrokdamisoli
Lineage: Bacteria; Bacillati; Bacillota; Bacilli; Caryophanales; Paenibacillaceae
Description: Bacillus sRNA ncr1015
Rfam family: Bacillus sRNA ncr1015
Source: Rfam by way of RNAcentral